This 667-nucleotide ribosomal RNA is filed under the name Micrococcus sp. CS9. RNAcentral's name for it is "bacterial SSU rRNA". It matches the Rfam family "Bacterial small subunit ribosomal RNA", at positions 61 to 741 of the family's 1533-position model. The record is from RNAcentral. Lineage: Bacteria; Bacillati; Actinomycetota; Actinomycetes; Micrococcales; Micrococcaceae.
GGUAACCGUAACCCCCAGCUUGCUGGCUGGAUUAGUGGCGCAACGGGUGAGUAACACGUGAGUAACCUGCCCUUAACUCUGGGAUAAGCCUGGGAAACUGGGUCUAAUACCGGAUAGGAGCGCCCACCGCAUGGUGGGUGUUGGAAAGAUUUAUCGGUUUUGGAUGGACUCGCGGCCUAUCAGCUUGUUGGUGAGGUAAUGGCUCACCAAGGCGACGACGGGUAGCCGGCCUGAGAGGGUGACCGGCCACACUGGGACUGAGACACGGCCCAGACUCCUACGGGAGGCAGCAGUGGGGAAUAUUGCACAAUGGGCGCAAGCCUGAUGCAGCGACGCCGCGUGAGGGAUGACGGCCUUCGGGUUGUAAACCUCUUUCAGUAGGGAAGAAGCGAAAGUGACGGUACCUGCAGAAGAAGCUCCGGCUAACUACGUGCCAACAGCCGCGGUAAUACGUAGGGCGCAAGCGUUGUCCGGAAUUAUUGGGCGUAAAGAGCUNGUAGGCGGUUUGUUGCGUCUGCUGUGAAAGCCCGGGGCUCAACCCCGGGUCUGCAGUGGGUACGGGCAGACUAGAGUCAUGUAGGGGAGACUGGAAUUCCUGGUGUAGCGGUGAAAUGCGCAGAUAUCUGGAGGAACACCAGUGGCGAAGGCNGGUCUCUGGUCUGUAACU